UUGUUAAAUCUUGCUUAUGUUGAAGUGUCUGUGGAUUAUUUUGUUGAGGUGUGGGUCUCUAUUUUUGCCUAGCUCUGUAGCUAUCGUUUUGACUUUAAACCAGAUGCUACUUGUGCUUGGAAGAGGUUAUUAAAGGUUAGGAAUACAUUGAAACCCUGCACCAGAUAUACGGUGGGUAACAGAGAUAAUUUGGCCAAAGUAUCUGCUGUAAUUCAUGGCUCUCAUUAAAAGUAUCUGCUAGGUCUGAAGAGUUGGUUUCCAUCCAAGGUGCAGUUUGUGGUGUGAAUUUUCCUAAUUCCUCAGCUGCAGAUGAAGUUGUAUGCAAAAGCUUCUUCAAACGGUUGCUAUAACUCCUUUGUUGCUUGCAAAAUUGUCAGAAGCAGGAGUAAAAUGUUGACUGGCACAAACUUGUGGGUUCUCCCCUAAUGUGCCAAGAGCUGGCUUUUUAUCUUGGUUGGUAAUACGUGAUAAACUCCCCACUUUUAAGAGGAUUUACGGUUGGUGUGUUGGGAGUACUAGAUCUCUCUGAUUGUUCUGUAAUAUAAGCAUGGAAUCUUGCUCUCAUCUAUUUUUCGAGUGUAGUUUCUCUAAUCAAGUAUGGAGCAAGGUGCUGCAGCUUUGUUGGAUUCAUAAAACUCCAAGAGUUCGGAAUUACGAAUUUGGUUUGAUAUAACAAGCUGCUCAGGGAAAGAUUUUCUGAAGUGUCUAUUAGAGUUUAUAUGGAACCACUGUAUCUGUUAUAUCUUGAGUCCAUGAAUAGUUUGUAUCGGAUACAGGUAGUUGGGUUGUUGAUGUAAUCAAAAUUAUCAAGCUCUUUGUUA
Molecule: long non-coding RNA, 821 nt
Organism: Eucalyptus grandis
Lineage: Eukaryota; Viridiplantae; Streptophyta; Magnoliopsida; Myrtales; Myrtaceae
Exons: 2
Source: RefSeq, a predicted model, not a curated record